Molecule: small nucleolar RNA, 106 nt
Filed under: Prunus dulcis (almond)
Lineage: Eukaryota; Viridiplantae; Streptophyta; Magnoliopsida; Rosales; Rosaceae
Description: sRNA ncRNA
Rfam family: Plant small nucleolar RNA R71
About the family: R71 is a member of the C/D box family of snoRNAs containing the C (UGAUGA) and D (CUGA) box motifs.
Source: Rfam by way of RNAcentral
AGCUCAUGGUGAGGACACUUGCGCAAUAAAUCUUUGAAUCAUUCCCAAGCUUCAUAAAAAGGUUCCUUAUCAUACUAAGCAAGAGAUAUAAUAUCUUGCCGAAAUU